UACGUAAGGGGCGAGCGUUGUUCGGAAUUAUUGGGUGUAAAGGGCGCGUAGGCGGUUUUACAAGUCCGGUGUAUAAGGCAACAGCUUAACUGUUGUUUUGCGCUGGAAACUGUGAGACUUGAGUUUAGGAGGGGGAGCUGGAAUUCCAGGUGUAGGGGUGAAAUCUGUAGAUAUCUGGAAGAACACCGGUGGCGAAGGCGAGCUCCUAGCCAUAGACUGACGCUGAGGCGCGAAAGCGUGGGGAGCGAACAGG
RNAcentral lists this ribosomal RNA (253 nucleotides) under uncultured bacterium. Its description in RNAcentral is "partial 16S ribosomal RNA". It matches the Rfam family "Bacterial small subunit ribosomal RNA", at positions 524 to 776 of the family's 1533-position model. RNAcentral also lists the same sequence under 1 other name. The record is from RNAcentral.